Molecule: ribosomal RNA, 100 nt
Filed under: Pedobacter alluvionis
Lineage: Bacteria; Pseudomonadati; Bacteroidota; Sphingobacteriia; Sphingobacteriales; Sphingobacteriaceae
Source: RNAcentral
AUCGGUGGUGUCCACCUCUUCCCAUUCCGAACAGAGAAGUUAAGCCCACCAGAGCCGAUGGUACUGCGGUAACACGUGGGAGAGUAGGUCGGUGCCAGAU